RNAcentral lists this long non-coding RNA (397 nucleotides) under Rattus norvegicus (Norway rat). RNAcentral's name for it is "long non-coding RNA NONRATT024489". The record is from RNAcentral. Lineage: Eukaryota; Metazoa; Chordata; Mammalia; Rodentia; Muridae.
GGCAGGUGCAGGUGGUCCAGGACCCAGCAACCGGAGGAACCUUUGUCGUGAAGGCAGGUGCUGCCCAGCUGCUGCCAUGUUGCAUUCCUCUUGGAACUUUCUCAGAGCUCUUGACACCCCUGCUUAUCCCUCCCCUCCAACAUGCAUAUGGUAUCCAUGCCACACUCCAGAGCCCAAAUCUGCCUGUUCCUCUGAGCAUUGCCCAGGGCUCCAAGACUGACAUACACGCACAGUCUCACCCUCCGACAUGGAUUCCAUGGGAUUCCUGGGGUGCAGGCUGGGCCAGGAACUGGUGGGAGCAGAUGCUACUCGGCCGGUCUCCCACUUCAUAUCCUAGUGUCCUGAAGCCAAAGCCUGGGCAAUGUCAGCUCAUUUACAUACCCUGUCCCCUCCCCAG